AGUGAACGCUGGCGGUAGGCCUAACACAUGCAAGUCGAACGGCAGCACAGUAAGAGCUUGCUCUUACUGGUGGCGAGUGGCGGACGGGUGAGGAAUACAUCGGAAUCUACUUUUUCGUGGGGGAUAACGUAGGGAAACUUACGCUAAUACCGCAUACGACCUACGGGUGAAAGCAGCGGAUCUUCUCACCUUGCGCUAUUGAAUGAGCCGAUGUCGGAUUUGCUAGUUGGCGGGUUAAAGGCCCACCAAGGCGACGAUCCGUAGCUGGUCUGAGAGGAUGAUCAGACACACUGGAACUGAGACACGGUCCAGACUCCUACGGGAGGCAGCAGUGGGGAAUAUUGGACAAUGGGCGCAAGCCUGAUCCAGCCAUACCGCGUGGGUGAAGAAGGACUUCGGGUUGUAAAGCCAUUUUGUUGGGAAAGAAAAGCAGCAGGUUAAUACGCCGCUGUUCUGACGGUACCCAAAGAAUAAGCACCGGCUAACUUCGUG
RNAcentral lists this ribosomal RNA (492 nucleotides) under uncultured bacterium. RNAcentral's name for it is "partial 16S ribosomal RNA". It matches the Rfam family "Bacterial small subunit ribosomal RNA", at positions 29 to 507 of the family's 1533-position model. The record is from RNAcentral.